RNAcentral lists this unclassified non-coding RNA (400 nucleotides) under soil metagenome. Its description in RNAcentral is "partial contains 5.8S ribosomal RNA, internal transcribed spacer 2, and large subunit ribosomal RNA". The stretch from base 1 to 122 matches the Rfam family "5.8S ribosomal RNA", at positions 35 to 154 of the family's 154-position model. The record is from RNAcentral.
GAUGAAGAACGUAGCGAAAUGCGAUACUUGGUGUGAAUUGCAGAAUCCCGUGAACCAUCGAGUCUUUGAACGCAAGUUGCGCCUCAAGCCAUUAGGUUGAGGGCACGUCUGCCUGGGCGUCACAUAUCGUUGCCUGAUGCCAGUUUCCUCGUGAUGGGUGACUGUGCAGGGCGAAUGAUGGCUUCCCGUGAGCAUUGUUGCCUCAUGGUUGGUUGAAAAUUGAGUCCUUGGUAGGGAGCGCCGUGAUAGAUGGUGGUUGAGUGACGAACGAGACCCAAUCAUGUGAGACCCCUACCGAAUUUGGCCUUCAUGACCCACAUGCGUCUUUGGAACGCACAUGACGAGACCUCAGGUCAGGCGGGGCUACCCGCUGAGUUUAAGCAUAUCAAUAAGCGGAGGA